RNAcentral lists this ribosomal RNA (467 nucleotides) under uncultured bacterium. RNAcentral describes it as "partial 16S ribosomal RNA". It matches the Rfam family "Bacterial small subunit ribosomal RNA", at positions 28 to 506 of the family's 1533-position model. The record is from RNAcentral.
GAUGAACGCUGGCGGCGUGCUUAACACAUGCAAGUCGAACGGUGAAGGCGGAGCUUGCUCUGCUGGAUCAGUGGCGAACGGGUGAGUAACACGUGAGCAAUCUGCCCCUGACUCUGGGAUAAGCGCUGGAAACGGCGUCUAAUACUGGAUACGAGCUGCGAAGGCAUCUUCAGCAGCUGGAAAGAACUUCGGUCAGGGAUGAGCUCGCGGCCUAUCAGCUUGUUGGUGAGGUAACGGCUCACCAAGGCGUCGACGGGUAGCCGGCCUGGGAGGGUGACCGGCCACAGUGGGAAUGGGGAGCGGCCCGGGCCGCAUAGGGGAGCAGGGGGGGGGAAUGUUGCAAAAGGGGCGAAGGCGUGGAGGAGCAACGCCGGGGGGGGGAGGACGGCCUUCGGGGUGGAAGCCUGUUUUGGCAGGAAAGAAGCGAAAGGGAGGGUACCGGCAAAAAAAGCCCCGGCAAACUAGGG